GACGAACGCUGGCGGCGUGCUUAACACAUGCAAGUCGAACGCUGAAGCUCAGCUUUUGUUGGGUGGAUGAGUGGCGAACGGGUGAGUAACACGUGAGUAACCUGCCUCCUUCUUUGGGAUAACGCCCGGAAACGGGUGCUAAUACUGGAUAUUCACUGGUCUUCGCAUGGGGGUUGGUGGAAAGGGUUUUUCUGGUGGGGGAUGGGCUCGCGGCCUAUCAGCUUGUUGGUGGGGUGAUGGCCUACCAAGGCUUUGACGGGUAGCCGGCCUGAGAGGGUGACCGGGCACAUUGGGACGGAGAUACGGCCCAGACUCCUACGGGGGGCAGCAGUGGGGAAUAUUGCACAAUGGGCGCAAGCCUGAUGCAGCGACGCCGCGUGAGGGAUGGAGGCCUUCGGGUUGUGAACCUCUUUCGCUAAUGGUCAAGCCGCAACAAUGGUUGUGGUGAGGGUAGUGGGUAAAGAAGCGCCGGCUAACUACGUG
Molecule: ribosomal RNA, 483 nt
Filed under: uncultured bacterium
Lineage: Bacteria
Description: partial 16S ribosomal RNA
Rfam family: Bacterial small subunit ribosomal RNA
Source: RNAcentral